This 2563-nucleotide long non-coding RNA is filed under the name Heterocephalus glaber (naked mole-rat). RNAcentral describes it as "lncRNA (ENSHGLG00100050039.1)". Lineage: Eukaryota; Metazoa; Chordata; Mammalia; Rodentia; Bathyergidae. The record is from RNAcentral.
GUGCUUUAUUUAAAGCAGACAGUAGGCAGCAAACAAGGAAGAGUUUGCAAACUACAUCUCGAAGGACGUUUUGUUUGUGUGUUGUCGUUUCUUGUGUUCCAUCUGGGAGGCUCUGUUGAUGUGUAUGGCUACCUGUAAGAGAGCACUGAUGAAGAAUGGAGAAGAUGUAAAAUAGAGCUCGCCAAAGGUUUUAAAAAUAAAUCAAGAAAUGAGUGAAUGAAGGCAGAAGCGCCCAGAAAGAAGGUCAGGACCCCAGUGGAUGCCAGAAACUGCAGAUACUGUCGGAUCCUACUUAUUCCUGCUCCUGAAUGUGCACAAUCAUCCCUUACUUCAAGAACACUGUGAAAUUAAGUAUCCUUACCACAAGAGCCAGCGAACUCAAGGCCAGGACCAGAGUGAAGUAAAUGAUUCACCGUGGUGCAGACCAGAAAGAGGCUCUUUCUUCACAUCGUGCAGGCUCGGGAUUAGCCUUCUUUGGUGUCUCCUUCCCUUCUCCAUCGGGGGAGCUUCCUGUGCCUCACUCCAGCUCAGCCAUUGAAAGAACUAUCCAGAUAUUACAGAUACAUCUUUCUGAUUGAACACUGACUGAUAAAGAAGUGAUAUUUGAGGACAGUUCCUACAAAGAAUUCUCGUAUUAUAAUGAAUGUUACUUAGAUGUCAACAUCACCUGCAAGAGAACACACAUAUUAUUUUUCAAGCAAAUCCUGAGCACGCUAUAAAAUUUAGAGGAAAGCAUGGACGUGAGGACUGAGAAAUGGAAACAAUGAGGAGCUCUGAGGAGUCCAGUGUCUGCCUUGCCAACGUGGGUGUGUAAUAUUUGAAGUAUGGAGAUGAGGACAACACAACGUAGUAUACUUUGCUGCUAUGUUUUGUUUGUUUGUUUGCUUGCUUGGUUUUUUUCCAUUUAGUUUAUUGGUACAUUUUAGCUAUACAAUACGGUUACAUUCAUCAUUGGGAUCUUGUAUCUUUACGUGGUGCAUCUUGGUUCUUAUUUUUUUCCCCAUUCCCCUGACCUCCUUUCACCCCCGCUACCCUUCCCUAUUUACAAAGACUUUGUUUCCAUGUUUUUCCUUUUCUCGUAUUUUUUCCUUUCCCUUCUUUCCUUUCCCCUUCCCCUCCCACUUCCCCUAUUCCUUUAGAUAUUUUCUUCCUAUUUCACUUGUUUUAACUAUAGAAGUUGGUUUCAGUAACUUAGGCCUCCAGUGUUGAAAAAGAAUGGGAGCAUGACUGAGGCCAAACCAGUGUCAUAUUAAUGUGAUUGGACAGAAACUCGCAGGCUGCCCAGAUAUUCUCAGCAAUUCAUCUCUCCUUUCCUCCAAGUAUCUGCCUGGACAGGUUAGGAUCCUAGAGGCCCUCCUCAUCUCAGUGCUGUUGCUUUAUAAGAGCUUAAAGGGAAUUCAUGAUGAGAGGAGCUUCCUGUUGUAUUAGAAAUAAAUAGAAGUGCUUGGUAGUCUUCAUUUUUUUCUGGAAAUCCAUGUACAGAGUCUCUUUUUCCUCUUCUAACUUCUUGUGUUCAUCUAGAGGGACACCACCGAGGGCCUUCAUCCAUCCUGUUACAGAUUAUAGACUGGGAAGCAGAUUUCCAAGGCACAAAUUUAAUUUACAAUAACUAGACACUGGACACAAACAACUAUUAGCAAAAGGCACAAAGGAACAACAUACCCCAUCUGAUGUGGAAUCAUUGGAACACAGAAAAAUAAUUUGAAAUAAACACAGUAAAUGUACUGAAAGAUAAAGGAAGAUGCCUUAACUCUUUUCUAUGAAAAAAGGAUAUAAAGAAAUAUGAACAAAGAACAGGAAAUCACAAAAAGAACCAUAGAAAUACAGGAAUGAAAAAUGAUAGAAAUAAAGAGCACAAUAGUUAGAAUAAACAAUAGGACAUAUGGAGAUUAAAAGAAGAUGAGAUUGAUGAAUUUUGGCAGGAAGCUGGAGAGAAAGAUUAUGAGAUUGAAAAUAUAAGAAGAGCUUCAAUGGACAGAUAUAAAAAUACCAGUAUCUGAGUAAAAGAAAUCCCAGAAAGAGGAAGAAAAUAGAAAACUGCCAAAGAAAUAAUUAAGAUAAAUUUUCUAGAAUUAGAAAAAGUGCUGAAAUGGAUCAAAUUUGAAAAGAUUAGGACAAGGAAACAACACAAAUAAGGACAACAUCACAUCUAGAUAAAGUGAAAUUUAAGGACAAAAAAGGUGAAACUAAAACUUUCAAAGAGAGAUCACCUACCAAGAAACUACACUGACCUUGUGUUGUUUUUUUUUACAAUAGUGGAAUCUAAAGGCCAAAAGUGUACAGGUUCUAAAUUUGUGAGAAAAAAAAACCCUAAAGGUGUAUAUUUACCCAAAUCUUCAUUUAAAUAUGAGGACAUACACAAAAUAUUGUGAGCCAUACUGGCCCUGCUUUUCUGUUACCCAAGCCACACACUAGAAAUAUACUUGAAAGAUCUCACUGAGUAAAAUAAAAAUUCAGAAGGAUCCUGUAAGUGAUAUAAAAAUGAAAGAAAUCAAAUAACUUGAUCAAAUUUAUUUUCUUAAAACAAGCUUGAGUAUAUGGAAAUUAUAUUCAUAACUCAAAC